RNAcentral lists this ribosomal RNA (253 nucleotides) under uncultured bacterium. Its description in RNAcentral is "partial 16S ribosomal RNA". It matches the Rfam family "Bacterial small subunit ribosomal RNA", at positions 524 to 776 of the family's 1533-position model. The record is from RNAcentral.
UACAGGGGGGGCAAGCGUUGUUCGGAAUUACUGGGCGUAAAGGGUUCGUAGGUGGCCAACUAAGUCAUACGUGAAAUCCCUCAGCUUAACUGGGGAACUGCGCCUGAUACUGGUUGGCUUGAGUGCAGGAGAGGAACGCGGAAUUCCAGGUGUAGCGGUGAAAUGCGCAGAUAUCAGGAAGAACACCCGUGGCGAAGGCGGUUCUCUGGGACGGUACUGACGCUGAGGAGCGAAAGCGUGGGGAGCGAACAGG